This 32-nucleotide non-coding RNA is filed under the name Homo sapiens (human). Lineage: Eukaryota; Metazoa; Chordata; Mammalia; Primates; Hominidae. The record is from RNAcentral.
UACCACCAGGUGCUCUAAGCACAGCAGGUUUG